RNAcentral lists this ribosomal RNA (253 nucleotides) under uncultured prokaryote. RNAcentral's name for it is "partial 16S ribosomal RNA". It matches the Rfam family "Bacterial small subunit ribosomal RNA", at positions 524 to 776 of the family's 1533-position model. The record is from RNAcentral.
UACGGAGGGGGCUAGCGUUGUUCGGAAUCAUUGGGCGUAAAGGGCGUGUAGGCGGCCGAUCAAGUCAGACGUGAAAUCCCUCGGCUUAACCGGGGAACUGCGUCUGAUACUGGAUGGCUUGAGGUUGGGAGAGGGAUGCGGAAUUCCAGGUGUAGCGGUGAAAUGCGUAGAUAUCUGGAGGAACACCGGUGGCGAAGGCGGCAUCCUGGACCAAUUCUGACGCUGAGGAGCGAAAGCCAGGGGAGCAAACGGG